RNAcentral lists this ribosomal RNA (253 nucleotides) under uncultured bacterium. RNAcentral's name for it is "partial 16S ribosomal RNA". It matches the Rfam family "Bacterial small subunit ribosomal RNA", at positions 524 to 776 of the family's 1533-position model. The record is from RNAcentral.
UACGUAGGGCGCGAGCGUUGUCCGGAAUUAUUGGGCGUAAAGAGCGUGUAGGCGGCCCGGUUAGUCCGCUGUGAAAGUUCAGGGCUCAACCCUGGAAUGCCGGUGGAUACUGUCGGGCUAGAGUCCGGAAGGGGCGAGUGGAAUUCCUGGUGUAGCGGUGAAAUGCGCAGAUAUCAGGAGGAACACCAAUGGCGAAGGCAGCUCGCUGGGACGUGACUGACGCUGAGACGCGAAAGCGUGGGGAGCAAACAGG